GACAAGCUCAUCUGACAGCAAGAAGUU
Molecule: non-coding RNA, 27 nt
Filed under: Cricetulus griseus (Chinese hamster)
Lineage: Eukaryota; Metazoa; Chordata; Mammalia; Rodentia; Cricetidae
Source: RNAcentral